GACGAACGCUGGCGGCGUGCUUAACACAUGCAAGUCGAACGGAAAGGCCCUGCUUUUGUGGUGUGCUCGAGUGGCGAACGGGUGAGUAACACGUGAGUAACCUGCCCUUGACUUUGGGAUAACUUCAGGAAACUGGGGCUAAUACCGGAUAGGAGCUCCUGCUGCAUUGUGGGGGUUGGAAAGUUUCGGCGGUUGGGGAUGGACUCGCGGCUUAUCAGCUUGUUGGUGGGGUAGUGGCUUACCAAGGCUUUGACGGGUAGCCGGCCUGAGAGGGUGACCGGCGACAUUGGGACUGAGAUACGGCCCAGACUCCUACGGGAGGCAGCAGUGGGGAAUAUUGCACAAUGGGCGGAAGCCUGAUGCAGCAACGCCGCGUGCGGGAUGACGGCCUUCGGGUUGUAAACCGCUUUCGCCUGUGACGAAGCGUGAGUGACGGUAAUGGGUAAAGAAGCAACGGCUAACUACGUG
This 468-nucleotide ribosomal RNA is filed under the name uncultured bacterium. RNAcentral's name for it is "partial 16S ribosomal RNA". It matches the Rfam family "Bacterial small subunit ribosomal RNA", at positions 28 to 507 of the family's 1533-position model. The record is from RNAcentral.